This 424-nucleotide unclassified non-coding RNA is filed under the name Salinispora arenicola. RNAcentral's name for it is "partial 16S-23S ribosomal RNA intergenic spacer". The record is from RNAcentral. Lineage: Bacteria; Bacillati; Actinomycetota; Actinomycetes; Micromonosporales; Micromonosporaceae.
UAAGGAGCGCCAUCCGUCGAAGGGCGGUAUGGAGCCUCGUGUCACCUGUGUUGGGUGGUGGGGUGCUCAUUGGUCGGAGACACUGGCUAGUUGGCGUCGGCAGCGGUCGGAUGCUCUUGUACACGCUUCUCAUCGUGUGGUGGGGGGUGGGGGAAGGGGUUGAUGAUGCGGCUGGUGCUGGUGGUGGACACCCUGUUGGGUCCUGAAGGAAUGACCGUUGGUUGUUUCUUGGGCCGUGUGCUCUGCGGUGCCGUGUGGUGCGGUGGGGUGGCGGUUGCCUGGCGUGGCUGGCUUCGUAUACCGGAUGCUGCUGUUGUGCCCUCGUGGUGGGGGUGGGGUGGUGGUGUUGCUGGUGCGGGGUGGUGGUUGCGGGUGGGUUGUUUGUUGAGAAUUACACAGUGGACGCGAGCAUCUUUGUGGUCAA